RNAcentral lists this ribosomal RNA (663 nucleotides) under uncultured fungus. RNAcentral's name for it is "eukaryotic LSU rRNA". It matches the Rfam family "Eukaryotic large subunit ribosomal RNA", at positions 24 to 664 of the family's 3401-position model. Lineage: Eukaryota; Fungi. The record is from RNAcentral.
CCCGCUGAACUUAAGCAUAUCAAUAAGCGGAGGAAAAGAAACUAACAAGGAUUCCCCUAGUAACUGCGGGUGAAGCGGGAAGAGCUCAAAUUUAAAAUCUGGCGUGCCUCGUGGCCGUCCGAGUUGUAGUCUGGAGAAGCGUUUUCCGUGUCGGACCCUGGAUCAAUCUCUCGGAACAGGAGGUCCUAAAAGGGGAGAAUCCCCUCUUUGACACGGCCUACCGAUGCUUUGUGAUGCGCUCUCUCAGAAUCGAGUUGUUAGGGAAGGCAGCUCAAAAUGGGUAGUAACUUCCAUCUCUAGCUAUAUAUAGGAGAGAGACCGAUAGCGAACAAGUACCGUGAGGGAAAGAUGUAAAGCACUAUGGAGAGAGAGUCAAACAGUACGAGAAAUGACAGAAAGGGAAACGCUGGAAGUCAGUCAGGUCUACCAGGACUCAGCCUCGCUUCUGCUUGCUGCACUUUCUGGUUUGAUGGGCCCACAUCGAUUUUGACCGAUAGGAGAAAGAGCAUCAGGAACGUGGCACCUAGGGGUGUGUUAUAGCCCUAUGUGCUAUCCGACAGUCGGGAUCGAGGACUCCAGCACGCCUUAAUGUCCGGGGUGCAGCCCACGUACGUGCUUAGGAUGUUGGCAUAAUGGCUUUAAGCGACCCGUCUUGAAACACGG